GGUUGUGGCUCAGUGGUAGAGUGCUUGCCUGGCAUGUAUGAAGCCCUGGGUUCAAUUCUCAGCACCG
RNAcentral lists this transfer RNA (67 nucleotides) under Marmota monax (woodchuck). Its description in RNAcentral is "tRNA.Ala". It matches the Rfam family "tRNA", at positions 6 to 65 of the family's 71-position model. Rfam says of the family: Transfer RNA (tRNA) molecules are approximately 80 nucleotides in length. Their secondary structure includes four short double-helical elements and three loops (D, anti-codon, and T loops). Further hydrogen bonds mediate the characteristic L-shaped molecular structure. tRNAs have two regions of fundamental functional importance: the anti-codon, which is responsible for specific mRNA codon recognition, and the 3' end, to which the tRNAs corresponding amino acid is attached (by aminoacyl-tRNA synthetases). tRNAs cope with the degeneracy of the genetic code in two manners: having more than one tRNA (with a specific anti-codon) for a particular amino acid; and 'wobble' base-pairing, i.e. permitting non-standard base-pairing at the 3rd anti-codon position. Lineage: Eukaryota; Metazoa; Chordata; Mammalia; Rodentia; Sciuridae. The record is from RNAcentral.